This 403-nucleotide ribosomal RNA is filed under the name uncultured bacterium. Its description in RNAcentral is "partial 16S ribosomal RNA". It matches the Rfam family "Bacterial small subunit ribosomal RNA", at positions 28 to 526 of the family's 1533-position model. The record is from RNAcentral.
GACGAACGCUGGCGGCGUGCCUAAUACAUGCAAGUCGAACGCAGUGGGGACGGGUGAGUAACACGUGGGUAACCUCCCAUCAGAGGGGAUAACACUUGGAAACAGGUGCUAAACCGAUACUGAUGGAUGGACCCGCGGUGCAGUAGCUAGUUGGUGGGGUAACGGCUCACCAAGGCCGCAAUGCAUAGCCGACCUGAGAGGGUGAGCGGCCACACUGGGACUGAGACAGGGCCCAGAAGCCUACGGGAGGCAGCAGUAGGGAAUCUUCGGCAAUGGACGAAAGUCUGACCGAGCGACGCAGCGUGAGUGAAGAAGGUUUUCGGAUCGUAAAACUGUAUUGUUAGAGAAGCGGUAUCUAACCAGAAAGCCGCGGGUAACUACGUGCCAGCAACCACGGUAAUAC